Molecule: ribosomal RNA, 728 nt
Filed under: Cunninghamella echinulata
Lineage: Eukaryota; Fungi; Mucoromycota; Mucoromycetes; Mucorales; Cunninghamellaceae
Description: eukaryotic LSU rRNA
Rfam family: 5.8S ribosomal RNA (bases 262-412)
Source: RNAcentral
CAGUAUAACGGUGUUGACUGCGGGGAUCAUUAACUAUUGUGGGAAAAAGACGUAAAACAUCUUUUGACCAUUAAAAUCAUCCAUAAUGUGGGUCAAACCACAUGCGCAAUGUUUUAUAAGGUGUUAUUUAGUUAGCAUCUUUUUAUUUGUAAUAUGGCCUUAAAAAAGCCACAUUACUAAUUUUUUUAUACUAAAUUAACUGAAAAAACGAUUGACCAUAAUUUAUGGUUGUUUAAACAAUAUAUUAACUUAUAUAAAAACAACUUUCAGCAAUGGAUCUCUCGGCUUUCGUAUCGAUGAAGAACGCAGCAAAUCGCGAUAUUUAAUGUGAUCUGCCUAUAGUGAAUCAUCAAAUCUUUGAACGCAUCUUGCACCCUAUGGUAUUCCGUAGGGUACAUCUGUUUCAGUACCAUUCAAACAUCUCCCUCACUCCUAUUUUUUUAUUAAAAGAGAGAAUGAGAUCAGAGAUAAAUUAUAAAUGGUCCUGGGUAAGCUGUGUAUCAAGUCUUUUGACUUUUUACCUGACGGAAUUUUAUCACUACCCGCCCUUAUAUCUUAGCGUAUAAGCUCGGUGCUAGGAGUUAAAAGCAUAGUAAAGAACCUAACUUGCCUUUGUCAGCCUCCUUCCAUUUUAUCACUACCCGCCCUUAUAUCUUAGCGUAUAAGCUCGGUGCUAGGAGUUAAAAGCAUAGUAAAGAACCUAACUUGCCUUUUGUCAGCCUCCUUCC